Felis catus (domestic cat) is the source of this 3028-nucleotide RNA transcript. RefSeq lists it as uncharacterized. NCBI's taxonomy places the organism in Eukaryota, Metazoa, Chordata, Mammalia, Carnivora, Felidae. The transcript is spliced from 10 exons. The record is from RefSeq and is a predicted model, not a curated record.
GUGAGGGCUAAGAGAAUGCUUUAAAAUUAAACAGAAUGGACAUUCUUGAGCCUGUUUUUAUGCUGCAGAGGAGAGGCAGUUGAAAAGGAGAUUAGAGAUACAAGGGCAUGGCAGGGGGAUGAUUAACAGAACACGGCCCUGGAGGAUUUGGGAGGGGAUGCUCUGAAGGCCAGAUCCAACAUUUGACCUUGGACAAGAGAAGGGGGAGGAAAAAAGAAAGCAAGUUUUCUGCCAGCCAGGAAUGGGCCUAAUUUGUGUCCAUGUCCCGUGCACACGGUGCCUGGCACACAGCAAGGUGCGGGGUGGGGGAGGUAGGAGGAUGCAGAUAACGCUGGGCUGCAGGGUGGUGGGUUGGAGGGGUGGGACUGAGAGUUGAGAAUCCUGGCCCUUACCUCGUUCCGAAGAGAAGGAGAUGGCAGGACCAUCUGUUGAAGGUGUCAGAAAAAGUGGUGGUAUUUGAAAAGAAGCUAUGGGUUGGGAGGACCCAGCUGGAAAAGGAGAAGGAAGAAGCCGCCGUGGCGCAGGAGAGGCUCACGGAGGCCAGGGACCAUGAAAUUAGAGGCCAAAUCUGUGGGAUCGUGGAGUCUUCUCCAGCAACGUGCAGCUGCACACAGUCUUCCGUGGACCUCCAAGAAAGCCAUCUAUUUUAAAGAGGAACAAGGUUGAUCCACUUAAUCUCUGCACCUGACAUGGGGCUCAAACUCAUGAUUCUGAGAUCAAGAACGGGAUGCUCUACUGAGUGGACCAGCCUGACGCCCUCCUAAAGUCACUUUCUAAACUUCAGCUUUGUUCUUCCUCACUCUGUGGCUUCCUCAUCACAUCACAGGCAAAGGACUCCUCCCCAGGAACUGAAGCUGGUUUGGAGCCCCCAUAGUGGUGUGGAAGGGAGCCAAUCAUUUCACCUGCUGCUCAAUGCAGCUUACGCAUGCAUCUUGCUAAAGAUGAUGACCCAGCAACCUGAGCUGAUGAGGUGGUGGGUCUCAGUCCACUCUAAACAAGCUUGCAUCGUUUUAGCAGCCGACUGCACUUAUCUUUUGAGCUUUGAACCAUGCCCCAGUGGGGCAUGCUUCUUGAUCUCAUUGAUACUGGAGUUGGCCAUGUGAUUUGCUUCGGCCAAAAGUUUGAUAAAUGUGUCAUGAAAUGGAGCCUUCCAUGCGUCUGCACACUGGACUUGUGUUCAGAGCUCCACUCUGAGAAGUACAUAUGCCAAGUGACCAUGGAUCUGGGGAGGAUCAGAGACAUGUGGAACAGACUAUUUCACCUUCCUGCAACAUCAGGAUGGGCGGGAGGAGGCCGCUUCGUCUGAGAAGGCAAAUCUCUACCCAGGUGGUGGCAGCAAUGGCCACAGCAGUUAUAGACAUUUGCUCCAGUAUCUCUGCACUCAGACAGGGAAGGGGCACCUCUCCAGGAAAUCUAGCAGAAGUUCUGGGAGCUGCUGUCAUUGCCCAUCCUUGGCCCACUGAAGCAAUCAUGACAGUUCUGUGUGCUUUCGCCAGGGCAAGGUCAAUGUCCACACUUGGAACUGGAGAAGAAGCACCGAGAAUGCCAGUUUCCCGGACACUUGGUCACCAAUGGUUAUUGAGACAUUACAUCUUGGCUCAUCUGACAAAUGAAAAUGAUGGAGAAACUGACUUCUAGGGAAGCAAAAUUAAUGGUCCAAGAUUGGAGAGCGGGUCAGCACCAGAACACAUGCUGUCUGAGGUAUUACUUAGGGUUUGUAUUCUGCUGUGUACUAUAUCAAGAGGUCGAUCAUAGAGAUUUAAACCACUCAUUGUAAUCUAUUAAUAUCCUGAAGAGUUUCUUAUGACUGUAACCACCAACCCAAUGAGCCAGCAUCUCCAUCCAAUUUUUCACUUAAUGGUGUAUUUUGCCACCGUUCAGCAAUCUGGAGACUGGCUCUCUGUGCAUUGUGCUAAACCUGUUUAAGCGCAGCAGUAAAACUUUCUGCAUGUCAGUGGCCAGCUCACGGAAUGGGAGCUCCUUAUGCUCAGCCAAAGCCAACUCAAGAUAAAUCGAGUGAGAAAAAUCAAUAGUCUCACUGCCAUUUCUUACAGUUUUCAUGAAUUGUUUAACAUAAUGAAAUAGUCACAGGAACAAAACAUUCUAACACUCCCUGAUGUGUUCUUCUCUUUGUAGAGCUAUCCCAAAUUCUUCAUAAAAUUAUACCCACUUAAUUUCCAUCUUGGAUUUAGAAAUUCAUUUUUUUUUGUAUCCCUCAUGAGACUUUUAAAUAAUGACCAAAAGUUGAGUUUAUCAUUAGGAGAAUUUUAAGAAGAGAUUUGUUCUGUCACAGACUUUAACCCAAGGAACCCUAAGGACAUGGGUCCCAGCCUUCACUGUUCCCACUAUACCACCGUAGGGUUUUUCCCAGGCUGAAGAAAUAAAAAUUUUGAUUAUCCUUAUAAUUUAGAUACAUCUUGGUCUUCUCUUCUUAAACUAAAUUUUAAAAAAUGUAAAGAACCUAUAAUCUAUCAGCUAUGAAGUUAUUGCUAUAAUUUUCAAAUUGAUGAAAAAGACAUGAUCUUGAAGAAAAGAAUGGAACAAGACAAAAACAACAGGCAAUUUGAUACUUAAGCUACAUAUUACCAAGUCAUCCUUAUCAGGAAGCAAAAAAAGUGAGGUUUUAAUAUAGAAAAAAGAAAUAAAAUAUGUGUGCACUUUAAAUAGUGUAAUUAAUAGAAAAUGUUUCAGUAUGUGGUCUCACUUUUUUUUUUCCAGUCAAACGUGUGCAGCUUAACCACAGUUUGGCUGGGAAUCUGUGGUGAGGGGCCUACGUGCACUAUUUCUGUUUUUGAGAGAGUUGUUUUAUUUUUUCUCCCUUUUUCAUUUCCAGGUUAUGUUCAGUUAAUUAUUGAAAUGCUGAACAUUCUGUCCUAAUACUUGAGAUUGCUUGACUUGUGUGGGGCAAAGGGAAGCAUAAUGGAUACAAGGGAAAUUCUCCCAGUCCUGUUUUAUUGACCUUCUCUCCAAGUACAUUCAUAAGAAAUUGUGCUAAAUAAAUUGAAGUGUGCCUUUGGUUUCAGCUAAA